This 378-nucleotide long non-coding RNA is filed under the name Apteryx rowi (Okarito brown kiwi). Its description in RNAcentral is "lncRNA (ENSARWG00000007621.1)". The record is from RNAcentral. Lineage: Eukaryota; Metazoa; Chordata; Aves; Apterygiformes; Apterygidae.
CUGGUCACCGUGGUCUCCAUGGUCUCAGUGCAGUCGUGACUGCAGUAGAGGUAUACGGAAUCGCAAACGGGUCUGCAGCAAUCCUGAGCCCAAGUAUGGGGGACUUCCUUGCCUCGGCCCAUCUCUGGAGUACCAAGAAUGCAACAUUUUGCCUUGUCCAGUUGACGGAGGCUGGUCUUGCUGGUCAUCUUGGUCAAAGUGCUCGGCAACUUGUGGAGGAGGGCAUUACACGAGAACCCGCUCUUGCACAAACCCCGCUCCAGCAUAUGGAGGAGAUAUUUGCCUUGGACUCCAUACUGAAGAAGCACUGUGCAACACACAACCAUGUCCAGACAGCUGGUCAGAUUGGUCUGAGUGGUCUGAGUGUGACUCAUCUGG